CCUACGGGUGGCUGCAGUGGGGAAUAUUGCACAAUGGGCGCAAGCCUGAUGCAGCCAUGCCGCGUGUGUGAAGAAGGCCUUCGGGUUGUAAAGCACUUUCAGCGGGGAGGAAGGCGUUAAGGUUAAUAACCUUGGCGAUUGACGUUACCCGCAGAAGAAGCACCGGCUAACUCCGUGCCAGCAGCCGCGGUAAUACGGAGGGUGCAAGCGUUAAUCGGAAUUACUGGGCGUAAAGCGCACGCAGGCGGUCUGUCAAGUCGGAUGUGAAAUCCCCGGGCUCAACCUGGGAACUGCAUUCGAAACUGGCAGGCUAGAGGCUUGUAGAGGGGGGUAGAAUGCCAGGUGUAGCGGUGAAAUGCGUAGAGAUCUGGAGGAAUACCGGUGGCGAAGGCGGCCCCCUGGACAAAGACUGACGCUCAGGUGCGAAAGCGUGGGGAGCAAACAGGAUUAGAUACCCUUGUAGUC
RNAcentral lists this ribosomal RNA (465 nucleotides) under uncultured Klebsiella sp. Its description in RNAcentral is "bacterial SSU rRNA". It matches the Rfam family "Bacterial small subunit ribosomal RNA", at positions 338 to 795 of the family's 1533-position model. Lineage: Bacteria; Pseudomonadati; Pseudomonadota; Gammaproteobacteria; Enterobacterales; Enterobacteriaceae. The record is from RNAcentral.